This is a long non-coding RNA of Zerene cesonia (dogface butterfly), 463 nucleotides long. RefSeq lists it as uncharacterized. The record is from RefSeq and is a predicted model, not a curated record. Lineage: Eukaryota; Metazoa; Arthropoda; Insecta; Lepidoptera; Pieridae. The transcript has 2 exons.
AUCCGCUUCCCUUCUUAUCUCUAUUUAAAACGAAUGUAAAAUAAAACUUACACUAGAUCUAGUGUAUUAGUUGCGUAGGUUUGAAGAAGCCACACUUGUACGAUGUCUUUUAUGAGCCUCUUCGCGAUUUUAAUUACAUUUCAAGUCAUAUAUUUUGAUACCAGUGAAGGUAUAACUUUUAUGGCAGUCGAACCUACUGGUCUAGAUAAAUAUACAGUAAAGUAUCACAUACCAACUGAAGAAGAUUUUAAUAUACCAGAUGGCCGCUUUACGAGUGGUCCUGGCUCAUUGGAUAAUUUUAAGUGAGAAGCAAUGACUAUCGUACGUAUUAUUAUAAAUGAAAAAUAUUUCGACGACAGUCACGUCUUUAAUUUUGGAUGCCGACACAAAUUUAUCCCACAAUUUGUAACCUUCAAUCCAAAUAAUAGUAAAAUUAUACACAUUUCAUUAUUUUAAUUAUACA